Molecule: ribosomal RNA, 1404 nt
Filed under: Staphylococcus aureus M1477
Lineage: Bacteria; Bacillati; Bacillota; Bacilli; Caryophanales; Staphylococcaceae
Description: bacterial LSU rRNA
Rfam family: Bacterial large subunit ribosomal RNA
Source: RNAcentral
GUAAGGCUGAGUAUUAGGCAAAUCCGGUACUCGUUAAGGCUGAGCUGUGAUGGGGAGAAGACAUUGAGUCUUCGAGUCGUUGAUUUCACACUGCCGAGAAAAGCCUCUAGAUAGAAAAUAGGUGCCCGUACCGCAAACCGACACAGGUAGUCAAGAUGAGAAUUCUAAGGUGAGCGAGCGAACUCUCGUUAAGGAACUCGGCAAAAUGACCCCGUAACUUCGGGAGAAGGGGUGCUCUUUAGGGUUAACGCCCAGAAGAGCCGCAGUGAAUAGGCCCAAGCGACUGUUUAUCAAAAACACAGGUCUCUGCUAAACCGUAAGGUGAUGUAUAGGGGCUGACGCCUGCCCGGUGCUGGAAGGUUAAGAGGAGUGGUUAGCUUCUGCGAAGCUACGAAUCGAAGCCCCAGUAAACGGCGGCCGUAACUAUAACGGUCCUAAGGUAGCGAAAUUCCUUGUCGGGUAAGUUCCGACCCGCACGAAAGGCGUAACGAUUUGGGCACUGUCUCAACGAGAGACUCGGUGAAAUCAUAGUACCUGUGAAGAUGCAGGUUACCCGCGACAGGACGGAAAGACCCCGUGGAGCUUUACUGUAGCCUGAUAUUGAAAUUCGGCACAGCUUGUACAGGAUAGGUAGGAGCCUUUGAAACGUGAGCGCUAGCUUACGUGGAGGCGCUGGUGGGAUACUACCCUAGCUGUGUUGGCUUUCUAACCCGCACCACUUAUCGUGGUGGGAGACAGUGUCAGGCGGGCAGUUUGACUGGGGCGGUCGCCUCCUAAAAGGUAACGGAGGCGCUCAAAGGUUCCCUCAGAAUGGUUGGAAAUCAUUCAUAGAGUGUAAAGGCAUAAGGGAGCUUGACUGCGAGACCUACAAGUCGAGCAGGGUCGAAAGACGGACUUAGUGAUCCGGUGGUUCCGCAUGGAAGGGCCAUCGCUCAACGGAUAAAAGCUACCCCGGGGAUAACAGGCUUAUCUCCCCCAAGAGUUCACAUCGACGGGGAGGUUUGGCACCUCGAUGUCGGCUCAUCGCAUCCUGGGGCUGUAGUCGGUCCCAAGGGUUGGGCUGUUCGCCCAUUAAAGCGGUACGCGAGCUGGGUUCAGAACGUCGUGAGACAGUUCGGUCCCUAUCCGUCGUGGGCGUAGGAAAUUUGAGAGGAGCUGUCCUUAGUACGAGAGGACCGGGAUGGACAUACCUCUGGUGUACCAGUUGUCGUGCCAACGGCAUAGCUGGGUAGCUAUGUGUGGACGGGAUAAGUGCUGAAAGCAUCUAAGCAUGAAGCCCCCCUCAAGAUGAGAUUUCCCAACUUCGGUUAUAAGAUCCCUCAAAGAUGAUGAGGUUAAUAGGUUCGAGGUGGAAGCAUGGUGACAUGUGGAGCUGACGAAUACUAAUCGAUCGAAGACUUAAUC